GACGAACGCUGGCGGCGUGCUUAACACAUGCAAGUCGAACGGUAAGGCCCUUCGGGGUACACGAGUGGCGAACGGGUGAGUAACACGUGGGUGAUCUGCCCUGCACUUCGGGAUAAGCCUGGGAAACUGGGUCUAAUACCGGAUAGGACCAUGGACUUCACGGUUUGUGGUGGAAAGCUUUUGCGGUGUGGGAUGGGCCCGCGGCCUAUCAGCUUGUUGGUGGGGUAAUGGCCCUACCAAGGCGACGACGGGUAGCCGGCCUGAGAGGGUGUCCGGCCACACUGGGACUGAGAUACGGCCCAGACUCCUACGGGAGGCAGCAGUGGGGAAUAUUGCACAAUGGGCGCAAGCCUGAUGCAGCGACGCCGCGUGAGGGAUGACGGCCUCGGUUGU
Molecule: ribosomal RNA, 393 nt
Filed under: uncultured bacterium
Lineage: Bacteria
Description: bacterial SSU rRNA
Rfam family: Bacterial small subunit ribosomal RNA
Source: RNAcentral